Oncorhynchus tshawytscha (Chinook salmon) is the source of this 265-nucleotide long non-coding RNA. The record is from Ensembl. Lineage: Eukaryota; Metazoa; Chordata; Actinopteri; Salmoniformes; Salmonidae.
GAGACAAUGACACUCUAAUCUGAUAGGUCUGGGAGGCAAUGACACUCUACUCUGAUAGAUCUGGGAGACAAUGACACUCUACUCUGAAAGGUCUGGGAGACAAUGACACUCUAAUCUGAUAGAUCUGGGAGACAAUGACACUCUAAUCUGAUAGAUCUGGGAGACAAUGACUCUCUACUCUGAUAGGUCUGGGAGACAAUGACACUACUCUGAUAGGUCUGGGAGAGAAUGACACUCUACUCUGAUAGGUCUGGGAGACAAUGAC